Molecule: ribosomal RNA, 322 nt
Filed under: uncultured bacterium
Lineage: Bacteria
Description: bacterial SSU rRNA
Rfam family: Bacterial small subunit ribosomal RNA
Source: RNAcentral
GACGAACGCUGGCGGCGUGCCUAACACAUGCAAGUCGAGCGGGGACUUAAUCAUGAAGUUUUCGGAUGGAUUGGUUAAGUUCUAGCGGCGGACGGGUGAGUAACGCGUGAGCAACCUGCCUAUCACUGGGGAAUAACGCAGCGAAAGUUGUGCUAAUACCGCAUGAGACCACAGAGGGACAUCCCUUAGGGGUCAAAGAUUUAUCGGUGAUAGAUGGGCUCGCGUCUGAUUAGCUAGUUGGUGAGGUAACGGCCCACCAAGGCGACGAUCAGUAGCCGACCUGAGAGGGUGAUCGGCCACAUUGGAACUGAGAACGGUCCAA